UCAUGAUAUGAGGAAAGACUUUUUGUAGUUCAAAAUUCACUAAAAAGUCCAUCAAAAUCCAUUAAAAUCCUAUUUUUUAAACAAUCUAUCGAAAUUAGAAUACUUUUGAAUACCACAAGACUUUUUGUAAGUUGUAAAGAGUCUUGAUUGAAUACCAUUAGACUUUUUUAAAGUCUUUUAAAAUCCUAAUUGAAUACUACUAGACUUUUUUAAAGUCUUUUAAAAUCAUAAUUGAAUACCACAGGAUUUUAUCAUCAUAAAAAAGUCUUUUAAAAUCCAUUAAAAUCCUAAUUGAAUACACCCCUAA
This 307-nucleotide long non-coding RNA is filed under the name Trifolium pratense (red clover). RNAcentral's name for it is "long non-coding RNA (TPRA_LNC013907)". The record is from RNAcentral. Lineage: Eukaryota; Viridiplantae; Streptophyta; Magnoliopsida; Fabales; Fabaceae.